Molecule: ribosomal RNA, 497 nt
Filed under: uncultured bacterium
Lineage: Bacteria
Description: partial 16S ribosomal RNA
Rfam family: Bacterial small subunit ribosomal RNA
Source: RNAcentral
GAUGAACGCUGGCGGCGUGCCUAAUACAUGCAAGUCGAGCGAACAGACGAGGAGCUUGCUCCUCUGACGUUAGCGGCGGACGGGUGAGUAACACGUGGAUAACCUACCUAUAAGACUGGGAUAACUUCGGGAAACCGGAGCUAAUACCGGAUAAUAUAUUGAACCGCAUGGUUCAAUAGUGAAAGACGGUUUUGCUGUCACUUAUAGAUGUAUCCGCGCCGCAUUAGCUAGUUGGUAAGGUAACGGCUUACCAAGGCGACGAUGCGUAGCCGACCUGAGAGGGUGAUCGGCCACACUGGAACUGAGACACGGUCCAGACUCCUACGGGAGGCAGCAGUAGGGAAUCUUCCGCAAUGGGCGAAAGCCUGACGGAGCAAAGCCGCGUGAGUGAUGAAGGUCUUCGGAUCGUAAAACGCUGUUAUUAGGGAAGAACAAAUGUGUAAGUAACUAUGCACGUCUUGACGGUACCUAAUCAGAAAGCCACGGCUAACUACGUG